UUAGUUCCGGUGCGUUUGUUAAACAUGGAUAUGCCAAAUCAGGGCGAAGCUUGUUUAUUUCACUCCAGAUGUGCUGACCUCUGUGAUUUCCCCAAAUGUGGGAAACUCGACUGCAUAGUUUAGUGGGGGACUGCGUUCUCACUUUCUCAUG
This 151-nucleotide small nuclear RNA is filed under the name Pongo abelii (Sumatran orangutan). Its description in RNAcentral is "U1 spliceosomal RNA (ENSPPYG00000029341.2)". It matches the Rfam family "U1 spliceosomal RNA". From Rfam's summary of the family: U1 is a small nuclear RNA (snRNA) component of the spliceosome (involved in pre-mRNA splicing). Its 5' end forms complementary base pairs with the 5' splice junction, thus defining the 5' donor site of an intron. Lineage: Eukaryota; Metazoa; Chordata; Mammalia; Primates; Hominidae. The record is from RNAcentral.